AAAGGGAAAUGGAGUGUGCGCAUGCGCACUGCCCAAUCAGAGCAUGCGGCAGGAGCAUUUAUCAGUUCCCGACAUUCCAGAAGGUCUUCCGUUGUUUUUGUGGAUUAAUCGGAUUUUAUUCUUCACCAUGCGCGCGAUCAUGAAGCUCCUCAUCUGCUGUGUGUUCAUGCUGUUCCUGGUGAACGUAGUUCCAGCUGCAGGUUCUACCACAGAACUCCUGUCAUGCUGCUUUCAGCAGCUUGGUAAUAGAUCAGUGGUGUACAUACUGAACAACACCGUGGAGUCCGAUUUCACACAGUGGACCAGAAACGUGAGCACAACCGAGCUGUAUCAUAUCACAUCACUGUAUCACAUCACUGUAUCACAUCACUGUAUCACAUCUGUUUCAUAUCACUGUAUCACAUCACUGUAUCACAUCACUGUAUCACAUCACUGUAUCACAUCUCUGUUUCAUAUCACUGUUUCACAUCACUGUUUCACAUCACUGUAUCACAUCACUGUAUCACAUCACUGUAUCACAUCUCUGUUUCAUAUCACUGUUUCACAUCACUGUUUCACAUCACUGUUUCACAUCACUGUAUCACAUCACUGUAUCACAUCACUGAUUCAUAUCACUGUAUCAUAUCAAUACUUUUUAUUAUACAUAAAGAAGAACUAACCCUGCCCCCUUCCCUUAAGUCCCACUGCUAAUGUUUAAAGGCUGAAUUAUAGCAAAAAACAGGAUGUGAUGUGGAUGAUAAUUAGAUAUUUUUAAAUGUGUAAAUAUGGAAUGUCACUGCUUUUAACACUAUUUCUAAUUCUCAAAGGAAAUUAUAAGCCUUAACUAUGUCAUGAGAAGUGAGUAUGUGAACGUUUUGUGCCUGUAAAUGCACAGGAAAGGCAUGUAACAGACACACAGUCACUGCUUGCUGCUGAUCUGAGAACUGCAUGACAAAAUGACAAGUGAAAAUAUCUUCAAUAUCAGUCAUAUUUAUCCCAUUUCCUCCUACAAGAUUAGAAUAAAUAAAGCAGAAGAUUAGUAAACAUUUUCUACUCAUUUCAAGCUUGAAAUAGAAUAGAAUUGAAAUGUUUUGUUGGCAGAUAUGUUGUUUCUAGUUUUAAGAAAUUUUAUAAAUGUAUUUAAUACAAUAAACAUUUAAUAGCUUUAAAUGUAUACAAGCCUCUUAAACAAGCUGAAUAAGAAAUAUUAAACAUAUUUGGCCAUAUUCAAGAUAUUUCCACUUGCUAAUAUAAAAAUUUUUUUGCAGUGAGUAUGGGUUUGUGUAACUGUGUGUAACUGUGUGUAACUGUGUGUGUGUGUGUGUGUGUGUGUGUGUGUGUGUGUAGAAGACACCCAUUAAGGAUGAACAUGGCAAUGUGGACAAGAGCAUUGUCAUAGGCUAUGGUCAGAACUGGAUCACUCUAAAUCAGAGUUACUUAGACAUUGUAUUCUACUUUCAGACAUAUGAUAUGAUGGUGUGUUAAGUAUUAUUUAUUUAUUUAUUUACUUUACAGAGUAAAUAUAUCACUCUUACACUCUCUUUUAAAAUAUUAUUAACAGAAAAAUCAAGAAGUUCAAUGUACAGAUUUGUGUGAACCGGGAUCAGCUAACCUUCCGAUUGGAGAGAAGCAUGAGACAAAUCAGCGUGAUGGAGGUGACGGAGGUUUGUAUCACACGCAGAUAAACUUUGUUAUUUCUUGCAGCAGAUUGUUUUAGGAAUAGACAUAUGGUAUAUUUACAAAAAUGAUAUUUGUUGCCAGCGGUUUAGACAUUAAUGGCUGUGUGUUGAGUUAUUU
Ictalurus punctatus (channel catfish) is the source of this 1776-nucleotide long non-coding RNA. NCBI's taxonomy places the organism in Eukaryota, Metazoa, Chordata, Actinopteri, Siluriformes, Ictaluridae. The record is from Ensembl.